RNAcentral lists this ribosomal RNA (2902 nucleotides) under Klebsiella pneumoniae. Its description in RNAcentral is "23S ribosomal RNA". It matches the Rfam family "Bacterial large subunit ribosomal RNA". Lineage: Bacteria; Pseudomonadati; Pseudomonadota; Gammaproteobacteria; Enterobacterales; Enterobacteriaceae. The record is from RNAcentral.
GGUUAAGCGACUAAGCGUACACGGUGGAUGCCCUGGCAGUCAGAGGCGAUGAAGGACGUGCUAAUCUGCGAAAAGCGUCGGUAAGGUGAUAUGAACCGUUAUAACCGGCGAUGUCCGAAUGGGGAAACCCAGUGCAAUUCGUUGCACUAUCGUUAACUGAAUACAUAGGUUAACGAGGCGAACCGGGGGAACUGAAACAUCUAAGUACCCCGAGGAAAAGAAAUCAACCGAGAUUCCCCCAGUAGCGGCGAGCGAACGGGGAGCAGCCCAGAGUCUGAAUCAGCUUGUGUGUUAGUGGAACGGUCUGGAAAGUCCGACGGUACAGGGUGAUAGUCCCGUACACCAAAAUGCACAGGCUGUGAACUCGAAGAGUAGGGCGGGACACGUGGUAUCCUGUCUGAAUAUGGGGGGACCAUCCUCCAAGGCUAAAUACUCCUGACUGACCGAUAGUGAACCAGUACCGUGAGGGAAAGGCGAAAAGAACCCCGGCGAGGGGAGUGAAAAAGAACCUGAAACCGUGUACGUACAAGCAGUGGGAGCACCUUCGGGUGUGACUGCGUACCUUUUGUAUAAUGGGUCAGCGACUUAUAUUCUGUAGCAAGGUUAACCGUAUAGGGGAGCCGCAGGGAAACCGAGUCUUAACUGGGCGUUAAGUUGCAGGGUAUAGACCCGAAACCCGGUGAUCUAGCCAUGGGCAGGUUGAAGGUUGGGUAACACUAACUGGAGGACCGAACCGACUAAUGUUGAAAAAUUAGCGGAUGACUUGUGGCUGGGGGUGAAAGGCCAAUCAAACCGGGAGAUAGCUGGUUCUCCCCGAAAGCUAUUUAGGUAGCGCCUCGUGAAUUCAUCUUCGGGGGUAGAGCACUGUUUCGGCUAGGGGGUCAUCCCGACUUACCAACCCGAUGCAAACUACGAAUACCGAAGAAUGUUAUCACGGGAGACACACGGCGGGUGCUAACGUCCGUCGUGAAGAGGGAAACAACCCAGACCGCCAGCUAAGGUCCCAAAGUCAUGGUUAAGUGGGAAACGAUGUGGGAAGGCACAGACAGCCAGGAUGUUGGCUUAGAAGCAGCCAUCAUUUAAAGAAAGCGUAAUAGCUCACUGGUCGAGUCGGCCUGCGCGGAAGAUGUAACGGGGCUAAACCAUGCACCGAAGCUGCGGCAGCGACACUAUGUGUUGUUGGGUAGGGGAGCGUUCUGUAAGCCUGCGAAGGUGACCUGUGAGGGUUGCUGGAGGUAUCAGAAGUGCGAAUGCUGACAUAAGUAACGAUAAAGCGGGUGAAAAGCCCGCUCGCCGGAAGACCAAGGGUUCCUGUCCAACGUUAAUCGGGGCAGGGUGAGUCGACCCCUAAGGCGAGGCCGAAAGGCGUAGUCGAUGGGAAACAGGUUAAUAUUCCUGUACUUGGUGUUACUGCGAAGGGGGGACGGAGAAGGCUAUGUUAGCCGGGCGACGGUUGUCCCGGUUUAAGCAUGUAGGCUGAUUAUCCAGGCAAAUCCGGAUAAUCAAGGCUGAGGUGUGAUGACGAGGCACUACGGUGCUGAAGUAACAAAUGCCCUGCUUCCAGGAAAAGCCUCUAAGCAUCAGGUAACAUCAAAUCGUACCCCAAACCGACACAGGUGGUCAGGUAGAGAAUACCAAGGCGCUUGAGAGAACUCGGGUGAAGGAACUAGGCAAAAUGGUGCCGUAACUUCGGGAGAAGGCACGCUGGUGUGUAGGUGAAGUCCCUGCGGAUGGAGCUGAGACCAGUCGAAGAUACCAGCUGGCUGCAACUGUUUAUUAAAAACACAGCACUGUGCAAACACGAAAGUGGACGUAUACGGUGUGACGCCUGCCCGGUGCCGGAAGGUUAAUUGAUGGGGUUAUCCGUAAGGAGAAGCUCUUGAUCGAAGCCCCGGUAAACGGCGGCCGUAACUAUAACGGUCCUAAGGUAGCGAAAUUCCUUGUCGGGUAAGUUCCGACCUGCACGAAUGGCGUAAUGAUGGCCAGGCUGUCUCCACCCGAGACUCAGUGAAAUUGAACUCGCUGUGAAGAUGCAGUGUACCCGCGGCAAGACGGAAAGACCCCGUGAACCUUUACUAUAGCUUGACACUGAACAUUGAGCCUUGAUGUGUAGGAUAGGUGGGAGGCUUUGAAGCGUGGACGCCAGUCUGCGUGGAGCCAACCUUGAAAUACCACCCUUUAAUGUUUGAUGUUCUAACGUUGGCCCCUUACCGGGGUUGCGGACAGUGUCUGGUGGGUAGUUUGACUGGGGCGGUCUCCUCCCAAAGCGUAACGGAGGAGCACGAAGGUUAGCUAAUCCUGGUCGGACAUCAGGAGGUUAGUGCAAUGGCAUAAGCUAGCUUGACUGCGAGCGUGACGGCGCGAGCAGGUGCGAAAGCAGGUCAUAGUGAUCCGGUGGUUCUGAAUGGAAGGGCCAUCGCUCAACGGAUAAAAGGUACUCCGGGGAUAACAGGCUGAUACCGCCCAAGAGUUCAUAUCGACGGCGGUGUUUGGCACCUCGAUGUCGGCUCAUCACAUCCUGGGGCUGAAGUAGGUCCCAAGGGUAUGGCUGUUCGCCAUUUAAAGUGGUACGCGAGCUGGGUUUAGAACGUCGUGAGACAGUUCGGUCCCUAUCUGCCGUGGGCGCUGGAGAAUUGAGGGGGGCUGCUCCUAGUACGAGAGGACCGGAGUGGACGCAUCACUGGUGUUCGGGUUGUCAUGCCAAUGGCACUGCCCGGUAGCUAAAUGCGGAAGAGAUAAGUGCUGAAAGCAUCUAAGCACGAAACUUGCCCCGAGAUGAGUUCUCCCUGAGACUUUAAGUCUCCUGAAGGAACGUUAAAGACGAUGACGUUGAUAGGCCGGGUGUGUAAGCGCAGCGAUGCGUUGAGCUAACCGGUACUAAUGAACCGUGAGGCUUAACCUU